Molecule: ribosomal RNA, 482 nt
Filed under: uncultured bacterium
Lineage: Bacteria
Description: bacterial SSU rRNA
Rfam family: Bacterial small subunit ribosomal RNA
Source: RNAcentral
AUGAACGCUAGCGGCAGGCUUAAUACAUGCAAGUCGAACGGUAACAUGAGUAGCAAUACUUGAUGACGAGUGGCGCACGGGUGCGUAACGCGUAUGCAAUCUACCUUUAACUGGUGAAUAGCCCGAAGAAAUUCGGAUUAAUACACCAUAGUAUAACGAAGAGGCAUCUCUUUGUUAUUAAAACUCCGGUGGUUAAAGAUGAGCAUGCGUGACAUUAGCUAGUUGGUGAGGUAAUGGCUCACCAAGGCAACGAUGUCUAGGGGAUCUGAGAGGAUUAACCCCCACACUGGUACUGAGACACGGACCAGACUCCUACGGGAGGCAGCAGUAAGGAAUAUUGGACAAUGGUCGCAAGACUGAUCCAGCCAUGCCGCGUGAAGGAUGAAGGCCCUAUGGGUUGUAAACUUCUUUUGUAUGGGAAAAAACCCCUCUACGUGUAGAGGGCUGAUUGUACCAUAAGAAUAAGGAUCGGCUAACUCCGU